RNAcentral lists this ribosomal RNA (997 nucleotides) under uncultured Verrucomicrobiota bacterium. RNAcentral describes it as "bacterial SSU rRNA". It matches the Rfam family "Bacterial small subunit ribosomal RNA", at positions 403 to 1393 of the family's 1533-position model. Lineage: Bacteria; Pseudomonadati; Verrucomicrobiota. The record is from RNAcentral.
GGAGGAUGACGGCCUUCGGAUUGUAAACUCCUGUCAUCUGGGAGUAAGACCUGGCUGUUAAUAGCAGACAGGGUUGAUAGUACCAGGAGAGGAAGGGACGGCUAACUUCCUGCCAGCCGCCGCGGUAAUACCAAGGUCCCGAGCGUUGUUCGGAAUCACUGGGCGUAAAGGGAGCGUAGGCGGCCGCGGUAAGGUCAGAUGUGGAAAUCCCGGGGCUCAACCCCGGAACUGCAUCCGAUACUGCCGUGCUAGAGGAUUGGAGAGGUAGCUGGAAUUCUUGGUGUAGCAGUGAAAUGCGUAGAUAUCAAGAGGAACACUCGUGGCGAAAGCGAGCUACUGGACAACUCCUGACGCUGAGGCUCGAAGGCUAGGGUAGCGAAAGGGAUUAGAUACCCCUGUAGUCCUGGCAGUAAACGGUGCACGCUUGGUGUGAGGGGAAUCGACCCCCCUUGUGCCGGAGCUAACGCGUUAAGCGUGCCGCCUGGGAAGUACGGUCGCAAGACUAAAACUCAAAGAAAUUGACGGGGACCCGCACAAGCGGUGGAGUAUGUGGCUUAAUUCGAUGCAACACGAAGAACCUUACCAAGGCUUGACAUGGAUUUCUAAGCACGUGAAAGCGUGUGACCCUUCGGGGAACUUCCACAGGUGCUGCAUGGCCGUCGUCAGCUCGUGUCGUGAGAUGUUGGGUUAAGUCCCGCAACGAGCGCAACCCUGUGAUUAGUUGCCAGCACGUUAUGGUGGGAACUCUAAUCAGACUGCCCAGAUCAACUGGGAGGAAGGUGGGGACGACGUCAGGUCAGUAUGGCCCUUACGCCUUGGGCUGCACACGUACUACAAUGCCCAGCACAAUGAGAACCGAUACCGCGAGGUGGAGGAAAUCUAUAAAACCGGUCUCAGUUCGGAUUGGAGUCUGCAACUCGACUCCAUGAAGUUCGAAUCGCUAGUAAUCGUGGAUCAGAACGCUACGUGAGUACGUUCCGGGCCUUGUACACACCGC